Molecule: ribosomal RNA, 871 nt
Filed under: uncultured bacterium
Lineage: Bacteria
Description: bacterial SSU rRNA
Rfam family: Bacterial small subunit ribosomal RNA
Source: RNAcentral
GAUAAACGCCGGCGGUGUGCCUUAUGCAUGCAAGUCGAACGGGCUACCUUCGGGUAGCUAGUGGCGAACGGGUGAGUAACGCGUAAGUAACCUGCCCCUAAGUAGGGAAUAACUCCGAGAAAUUGGAGCUAAUACCGUAUGUGAUGGUGGAGGUAAUGCUCCAUCAUUAAAGCCUUCGGGUGCUUGGGGAGGGGCUUGCGUCCGAUUAGCUAGUUGGUAGAGUAAGAGUCUACCAAGGCGACGAUCGGUAGCUGGUUUGAGAGGACAGUCAGCCACACUGGGACUGAGACACGGCCCAGACUCCUACGGGAGGCAGCAGCAAGGAAUUUUGGGCAAUGGGCGAAAGCCUGACCCAGCGACACCGCGUGGGGGAUGAAGGUCUUCGGGUUGUAAACCCCUUUUCUCAGGGAAGAAUAAUGACGGUACCUGAGGAAUAAGCCUCGGCUAACUACGUGCCAGCAGCCGCGGUAAUACGUAGGAGGCGAGCGUUAUCCGGAUUUACUGGGCGUAAGGAGGGCGUAGGUGGCUCUUCAAGUCGGAUGUAAAAUUUCCCGGCUCAACUGGGAGGGAUCAUUCGAUACUGUUAGGCUAGAGGACAGCAGAGGGAGGUGGAAUUCCCGGUGUAGUGGUGAAAUGCGUAGAUAUCGGGAGGAACACCAGUGGCGAAGGCGGCCUCCUGGGCUGUUUCUGACACUGAGGCCCAAAAGCGUGGGGAGCGAACAGGGUUAGAUACCCUGGUAGUCCACGCUGUAAACGAUGGACACUAGGUAUGGGGAGUAUCGACCCUCUCCGUGCCGAAGCUAACGCCUUAAGUGUCCCGCCUGGGGACUACGGCCGCAAGGCUAAAACUCAAAGGAAUUGACGGGGGCCC